Macaca mulatta (Rhesus monkey) is the source of this 820-nucleotide non-coding RNA. NCBI's taxonomy places the organism in Eukaryota, Metazoa, Chordata, Mammalia, Primates, Cercopithecidae. The record is from RefSeq and is a predicted model, not a curated record.
CUCGAUCUCCCGACCUCAGGCGAUCCGCCCGCCUCGGCCUCCCAGAUGCUGGGACCACAGGCGUGAGCCUCGGCGCCGGCCGGUCUGGAUCUUGGCCGCGACGUGGCCGUGAGUUCCUUUCCUCGGGUCGCAGCCCCCGGGGCCGUCGCGUCUCCGCUGAGCUCGGCUGCCUUGAGGGCGGUGACGGGUGGUCUCGCCCGAGCGCCUCAGCCCGCGAGCGUCAGCUCCGUCCGUCCGGCAGGGGGCAGGCGAGCGCGGCGCGAUGGCGGCCGUGGGCGGGGACCACCCUCCGCGGGAGCCGCCUCCGCCCGACCCCACCACGGCUCCGCCAGCGCCACAUGGGCGGGCACAGGCCGCGGCGGCCGCUACAAUUUUUUUUUGUUUGUUUUUAAGACAGGCUCUUGCGCUGCUGCCCAAGCUGGUCUUGAACUCCUGGCCUCCAGUGACCCUCCCACCUCAGCCUGGAGCUGCUGGGAUUCCAGCUGUGAGUCUCAGUGUCUGGCCCUGUGAACAACUUUAGGCCCCCAAAUUUGACAACUUAAAUAUCUCACUGAGAAAGCAUGGGGCCCUCACUGUGGAGUGUGAUGCCAGCUGUAGACCUUCUGCUGAUGCCCUGUUCAGGUUGGAGAAGUUCUCUAAUCUUUGUUGCUGAGUUUUUAUCAUAAAUUGAUAUUCCUUUGUCAAUUGCCUUUUGGCAUCAAUUGAUAUGAUCAUGUUGUUUUAUUCUUUAGACUGUUAAUAUGAUGUAUUGUAUUAGUUGAUUUUACUUUUUUAGCUAUCAAACCACCCUUGUAUUCCUGGAAUAAAUAGCACCACUCGA